Molecule: ribosomal RNA, 1503 nt
Filed under: Salmonella enterica subsp. enterica serovar Typhimurium
Lineage: Bacteria; Pseudomonadati; Pseudomonadota; Gammaproteobacteria; Enterobacterales; Enterobacteriaceae
Description: bacterial LSU rRNA
Rfam family: Bacterial large subunit ribosomal RNA
Source: RNAcentral
CCGGAAGACCAAGGGUUCCUGUCCAACGUUAAUCGGGGCAGGGUGAGUCGACCCCUAAGGCGAGGCCGAAAGGCGUAGUCGAUGGGAAACGGGUUAAUAUUCCCGUACUUGGUGUUACUGCGAAGGGGGGACGGAGAAGGCUAUGUUGGCCGGGCGACGGUUGUCCCGGUUUAAGCGUGUAGGUGUGUGUUCCAGGUAAAUCCGGUUCACUUUAACACUGAGGCGUGACGACGAGGCACUACGGUGCUGAAGCAACAAAUGCCCUGCUUCCAGGAAAAGCCUCUAAGCAUCAGGUAACAUCAAAUCGUACCCCAAACCGACACAGGUGGUCAGGUAGAGAAUACCAAGGCGCUUGAGAGAACUCGGGUGAAGGAACUAGGCAAAAUGGUGCCGUAACUUCGGGAGAAGGCACGCUGACACGUAGGUGAAGUGAUUUACUCAUGGAGCUGAAGUCAGUCGAAGAUACCAGCUGGCUGCAACUGUUUAUUAAAAACACAGCACUGUGCAAACACGAAAGUGGACGUAUACGGUGUGACGCCUGCCCGGUGCCGGAAGGUUAAUUGAUGGGGUCAGCGCAAGCGAAGCUCCUGAUCGAAGCCCCGGUAAACGGCGGCCGUAACUAUAACGGUCCUAAGGUAGCGAAAUUCCUUGUCGGGUAAGUUCCGACCUGCACGAAUGGCGUAAUGAUGGCCAGGCUGUCUCCACCCGAGACUCAGUGAAAUUGAACUCGCUGUGAAGAUGCAGUGUACCCGCGGCAAGACGGAAAGACCCCGUGAACCUUUACUAUAGCUUGACACUGAACAUUGAGCCUUGAUGUGUAGGAUAGGUGGGAGGCUUUGAAGUGUGGACGCCAGUCUGCAUGGAGCCGACCUUGAAAUACCACCCUUUAAUGUUUGAUGUUCUAACGUGGACCCGUAAUCCGGGUUGCGGACAGUGUCUGGUGGGUAGUUUGACUGGGGCGGUCUCCUCCUAAAGAGUAACGGAGGAGCACGAAGGUUGGCUAAUCCUGGUCGGACAUCAGGAGGUUAGUGCAAUGGCAUAAGCCAGCUUGACUGCGAGCGUGACGGCGCGAGCAGGUGCGAAAGCAGGUCAUAGUGAUCCGGUGGUUCUGAAUGGAAGGGCCAUCGCUCAACGGAUAAAAGGUACUCCGGGGAUAACAGGCUGAUACCGCCCAAGAGUUCAUAUCGACGGCGGUGUUUGGCACCUCGAUGUCGGCUCAUCACAUCCUGGGGCUGAAGUAGGUCCCAAGGGUAUGGCUGUUCGCCAUUUAAAGUGGUACGCGAGCUGGGUUUAGAACGUCGUGAGACAGUUCGGUCCCUAUCUGCCGUGGGCGCUGGAGAACUGAGGGGGGCUGCUCCUAGUACGAGAGGACCGGAGUGGACGCAUCACUGGUGUUCGGGUUGUCAUGCCAAUGGCACUGCCCGGUAGCUAAAUGCGGAAGAGAUAAGUGCUGAAAGCAUCUAAGCACGAAACUUGCCCCGAGAUGAGUUCUCCCUGAGACUU